ACAUGUCGUGGUCGAACGGUUUAAUCAGAAGCACCAAGAACAAGCAGCCCUGAUAGACAGUUUUGAAAUGACACGUAUUUGGAAACAUCAAAAAUCCAGAUUAAAGAUUGAUCCUGAAAAAUAUGGAAGAAUACUGGGGAUUGCAAAUGAAAGUCACCACUGGAUGCUAGUGGUUAUGUAUCCCAUGGAUAAAA
Fundulus heteroclitus (mummichog) is the source of this 194-nucleotide long non-coding RNA. RefSeq lists it as uncharacterized. The record is from RefSeq and is a predicted model, not a curated record. NCBI's taxonomy places the organism in Eukaryota, Metazoa, Chordata, Actinopteri, Cyprinodontiformes, Fundulidae. The transcript has 3 exons.